RNAcentral lists this ribosomal RNA (1387 nucleotides) under Aureococcus anophagefferens. Its description in RNAcentral is "partial large subunit ribosomal RNA". It matches the Rfam family "Eukaryotic large subunit ribosomal RNA", at positions 23 to 1464 of the family's 3401-position model. The record is from RNAcentral. Lineage: Eukaryota; Pelagophyceae; Pelagomonadales; Pelagomonadaceae.
ACCCGCUGAAUUUAAGCAUAUAACUAAGCGGAGGAAAAGAAACUAACAAGGAUUCCCCUAGUAAGGGCGACUGAAGCGGGAUCAGCCCAGAUUGUAAACUGACCUUAAUCAAGGUUGGGUUGUAGUCUAAAGAGGCGACGCCAGGCAAGGUCCGGGGAGAAGUCCCUUGGAACAGGGCAUCGGAGAGGGUGACAAUCCCGUCUGUGCCUCGGACCGCGUCGUACGGUGCGUCUUCGACGAGUCGGUUUGCUUGGGAUUGCAGACCAAACGGGUGGUAAAUUCCAUCUAAGGCUAAAUACGGGUGGGAGACCGAUAGCGAACAAGUACCGUGAGGGAAAGAUGCAAAGAACUUUGAAAAGAGAGUUAAAAAGGGCCUGAAACUGGUAAGAGGGAACCGAACGGCAGAAGUGGUGAUGGGCGCGUAUUUUCCGCCGGGCUCUUGGCCGGCGUACUUGUGCGCGUCCGUAGGUCAGCGUGGGUUGGGGCGUGGGAGUCGUUCAUGGGAAGGUCUUCGGGCCAAUCUCGUGUUCAGGCCGCGCCUGAGACCUUCGGUGACGAAAUUCUUCCGUUCACCCCGUCUUGAAACACGGACCAAGGAGUCUAAAAUACGAGCGAGUGCGCCGGUGGCAACCCGGGGCGCGUAAUGAAAGUGAGACCGACGGUGGGAGGGCUUUACGUCCGCACCAUCAACCGACCACGAUCCUUCGGGUGAAAGGUUUGAGCGUAGCUUGUAUUUUGGGACCCGAAAGAUGGUGAACUAUGCCUGAAUAGGGCGAAGCCAGGGGAAACUCUGGUGGAGGCUCGUAGCGAUUCUGACGUGCAAAUCGAUCGUCAAAUUUGGGUAUAGGGGCGAAAGACUAAUCGAACCAUCUAGUAGCUGGUUCCCUCCGAAAUUUCCCUCAGGAUAGCAGCAAUCGAAGAGUUUUAUCAGGUAAAGCGAAUGAUUAGAGGCCUCAGGGGUGGAACGUCCUUGACCUAUUCUCAAACUUUAAAUGGGUAAGAGCCAGGGGUUGCUUAAGUGAACCCCUCGGUCGAAUCGCGGUUGCUAGUGGGCCACCCGGGGUAAGCUCGGUUGGCGAUGCGGGAUGAUCCGAACGUCGAGUUAAAGUGCCUCACUGCCCGCUCACCUAGAUCCCACAAAAGGUGUUGGUUCAUUUAGACAGCAGGACGGUGGCCAUGGAAGUCGGAACCCGCUAAGGAGUGUGUAACAACUCACCUGCCGAAUGGAUUAGCCCUGAAAAUGGAUGGCGCUGAAGCGAGCGACUUAUACUCGACCAUCACGGCAAGUGCGACGCCGUGAUGAGUAGGAGGGCGUGGGGCUCGUGGCGCAUCCCGCGGCGUGAGCCGGGGUGAAACGGGCUCUAGUGCAGAUCUUGGUGGUAGUAGC